Molecule: long non-coding RNA, 297 nt
Filed under: Mytilus galloprovincialis (Mediterranean mussel)
Lineage: Eukaryota; Metazoa; Mollusca; Bivalvia; Mytilida; Mytilidae
Source: RNAcentral
AUUGUUUUCUUUUGUCAUGUGAAUUAGAUGCCCUUCUACUUCAAAUGGUUUGAAUCUAUUUAUGAAAUUAUUCAAGACUCAGUUGACAAGAGCAGUACGUUGCUGUUGGGAGAAUUUUGAUUAAACUCUAAAUGCUCAUAGAAUAAGAAAUAUAAUCUAAACUGAAUGUACCUCCUUCUGAAUAAUUUAUUGCAAUAUAAAUAUGAAUCCCUUUUGACAAGAGAAAUCUGACUUUUGUCAGAAAUAUUUGUUUCACAUGUGCAAAGGUAAUCAUGUGUGGCGGCCAUAUUGGUUUGU